Molecule: ribosomal RNA, 236 nt
Filed under: uncultured bacterium
Lineage: Bacteria
Description: partial 16S ribosomal RNA
Rfam family: Bacterial small subunit ribosomal RNA
Source: RNAcentral
UGAGGAACAUGACCUUCGGCGGGGGAGUAGCCGGCCCAACGGCCGGGUAAUACCGCGUACGACCACAUGGGGACAUCCCUGAGUGGUGAAAGCAGCAAUGCGCCGAUGGAGUGCCUCGCGGCCUAUCAGCUAGUUGGUGGGGUAAUGGCUCACCAAGGCGACGACGGGUAGCCGGCCUGAGAGGGUGACCGGCCACACUGGGACUGAGACACGGCCCAGACUCCUACGGGAGGNAG